GCGCCUCCUCUCCUCCUUCCCCGCCGCCGCCCGGCCUCCUCCUUCCACCCCUCCGGCCGGCUCCUCUCCCGCUCGCGCCGCCUCCUCCUCCCCACCAGCGCCUCCCUCUCGUCCUUCCCCACCUUCGCCUGGCCUCCUCCUUCCUCCCCUCCGAUCUGGCGCCGCCCAAACCCUAACGCCCCGCCCCGGCCCUGGAUCGUGCGCCGCCUCCGCUGCCGGCAGGAGGGGGCCGCGGCGGCCGCGGCGCAGCCCGAUGACCAGGAGCUCCCCGGUGAGCAGCCGUCCGCCCCUUCCCCCUCCAAAGCUCGCGCUCUUCCUCUCUUCACCGUCCCCUUGCUCCGCCGGCCGCCGGCCCGCCAACUCCUUCGCCUCCGGGAAGCACCGCCUUGUUUGCUCCUGUUCGGCGGCGGCCGUGGUCGAGCUCGAGCCCGGGCGCGGCGGCGCGUUGUUGAGCAUGGCUGCGGCCCGGCCAUGGCCGAGCUCGAGUGUUUCGUUGACGUUCCUACUGAUGUGCGCCCUAACUGUUGCUGUUGUGCGCCCUAACUGCCAUGGCCGAGCUCAGCUCUAUCAAUUCCCCGCCCUAACUGCUGUUGUGCGCCCUAACCCUAGCCUCUCACAGUAGGGAGAGGAGGUCGUGGGGGAGGAAGGAGAAGAGGACAUGGAGCAGCGUAACUGGCGGAGCAGCUGCAACGUCGAGCGGCCUCAGUGAACCAAGAGAGUCGUGGAUGCAGUGAGAGUUGGGUGUCGUGUCCGAUUGAGCGGCAAGCCGGAACUGCAAGUUGUUGAACAUGUGGUGCUACUGUGACUUGCCGUUCACUGUCACCAAUUACAUGUAGCAGUGAGUGAUAAAUUUCCAUUGCAUGUCACUGCUGCUGUGAAGUUAAUCUCUCUUGAAGAGACCGUCAGGAAAAGAAUCUCUUGCAAGUGUUUGUGGAUCCAUCAUUCAUGGAUUUUCCAGCUACUCAGUAGCCUGAUUCCUCCAUCUCAGGGAUUUAGUUUUGUCAGUAUAAAGUAGCUAGCUGUUGGGCUUCCUUGGCAUACAUCUCACGUUUUACAUGGAUGAUGAGAAAGGAAUUGUAAAACUUGCUGCUUUUUCUUAGUAUAUAUAUGUUGUUCAAAGGAUUUCCAAGAAAUCAGGCCAAGUUGAUGAUCAGUUUCAUACUAAUUGAUGUAUGGUGAUAAAGAUUCACGAGUUGGCUGCGCACAUGCUUGCUGGCUGGAAGGAGUUUGAUUCAUUACUUGAUGGCCUCAAAAUGGAUACAGGAUCUGUUGGAAUCAAGAAGGCCUUAAGGUAGCCCACUUGAUCUACUUUAGCUCCAUGCUUUAUUAAUGGCCAGCUUACUUACUUUGAUAUAUAACACUAAUGUUGAUUGACAUCAACUCGUGGUUCUUCCCUGAGGCGAACCUUACCCACUGCAAGUCCGCAGUGUGGCUGCUUGGUGGCUGUCGCAUUGCUGGCCAGGCUCCACCUCCGCCUUGUGGUUGUUGGCGUCACCGGCCAUGCCCCACCCGCACAAACUCCUGCUCGCCUCCCAUCUUGAUGUCCACAUCUAAGUAUGGGGUUUCCGACUAUGGUGCAGCAUAACCUCAGUAGAUCAUCUCCAAAUGGGUGCUAGUAUGGUAGUUCAAUAUACGCAUUGAUUUGGCAGGAUUUAUGAGGAGUGGGUAAUCAAUGAACCUACAAUCAGUCACGACUCUAGAGCAAAAGAAAGGGUCAAGCAGUGAUGCGUCGGUAAGGAAAUCAAUCAAUAUAAGGGUCAUAGCUCGGGUUCGAGGACAAGGCCAACCUCAUGCAGUCGAUUAAGAAUACGCUGCAGGGUUUGGUGGUCUGGCACAUCGAGUGCUCGAGAGCCUGGAGCCCAAGGUCAGGAAGCGCGUUGAGGCGCUCCAAAAUAUAUCCAGGUGCUACUCAAUUCGUUAGUUGUAUCUCAUUAUGCGCUGGACAACACAACAAUUUGAUUGUGAAUCUAUUCUGGUGCAGAGUCGUUCGAUGCUUGCACCGUUGUAAUCGCUUUGGCUACUUCCAGUGCUGAUCAAGAGCAGGGACAACAGAUCAUGUAUCCUUUGCUUCAUGAACUAAUGUUCUAAAUUCUUCAAGCAGCGAGGCACACAUACCGUCUAGUAGCAGUACUAUCGCAAAGCCAGUUGAUGCUAGGUGUGCUUGAAGAUGUUCCACUCCAUGGAUCGAUAGAGUACAAUGGCUUUGUCUACACUUAUCUUUAAGGACACAACCUGGAGUCUUGUGGAGGUGUGAAGAUGAUACCCAAGUAAUCUAGGACAUUAAUUUGUUACGGGUUCACUUGUGUACAAGAGUGCCAUGUUCUUUCCCGUGUAAUAUAUUGUGAUUUUUUUGUUUAACAUCAUGUAGACUGUAUCUUUCUAUGGUAGUAAACAUUAUCCUGCUUUUUGGUUUGGAGCUGAGCGCUGGACCAUGGUGAUGGAGACUGCUCUUUGGAAUUCCAGUAUACUUGGAGAAAGAAGCAAAAGUUGAGGACCAGGUUGUUCUCAGUAUAUUUGUCACAACAAGUAUGAUUUGGUAUAUCAUGUUAUCAUGUUAUAUUUCAUAUGAAAUUUGCCAAUGGCGUGUGAUGAACCUUGAUGCUGUCUAUCCUUUAUAUGGAUAAGAUGUAAACUUUGUUUUAGAUUA
Triticum aestivum (bread wheat) is the source of this 2647-nucleotide long non-coding RNA. RefSeq lists it as uncharacterized. The record is from RefSeq and is a predicted model, not a curated record. Lineage: Eukaryota; Viridiplantae; Streptophyta; Magnoliopsida; Poales; Poaceae. The transcript has 12 exons.